AUUUUGCGGCAUUUAAUAAUUUAUAUAUGAAAAUAAUUAAAUUUGUUGCCUGGACCUGUGUCCUCAGAAGGUGAAGAAUUUGUCGCUAUCUUGGCAUACGUAAGGAAUUGAUUAAGCGAAUAAUAAAAAGGCCGAGUUUAUUUAUUCAACUAUUGAUAUAAAUUAAACAUUUAUUAAAAACACUUAGGGAUUUGUGCAAAACUUUAGUAAACAAAUUUUAAAAGUUUUCAAGUAAUUGCAUAAAAAGCAAAAUAAGUAUACCAACAAAAUAGUUACUUGUAAAUUAAACAUCGGUUAUAACAACAAACAGCAGCAAUAUUUUUUUUUUUUUUUUAAAGCAAUCUAACUUAAAUAAAAGAAACAGUUU
Molecule: long non-coding RNA, 367 nt
Organism: Glossina fuscipes
Lineage: Eukaryota; Metazoa; Arthropoda; Insecta; Diptera; Glossinidae
Exons: 2
Source: RefSeq, a predicted model, not a curated record